RNAcentral lists this ribosomal RNA (750 nucleotides) under Bacillus subtilis. RNAcentral describes it as "bacterial SSU rRNA". It matches the Rfam family "Bacterial small subunit ribosomal RNA", at positions 51 to 781 of the family's 1533-position model. Lineage: Bacteria; Bacillati; Bacillota; Bacilli; Caryophanales; Bacillaceae. The record is from RNAcentral.
AUACAUGCAAGUCGAGCGAACCGAUUAAGAGCUUGCUCUUAAGAAGUUAGCGGCGGACGGGUGAGUAACACGUAGGUAACCUGCCUAUAAGACUGGGAUAACUCCGGGAAACCGGGGCUAAUACCGGAUAACAUUUUGCACCGCAUGGUGCGAAAUUGAAAGGCGGCUUCGGCUGUCACUUAUAGAUGGACCUGCGGCGCAUUAGCUAGUUGGUGAGGUAACGGCUCACCAAGGCGACGAUGCGUAGCCGACCUGAGAGGGUGAUCGGCCACACUGGGACUGAGACACGGCCCAGACUCCUACGGGAGGCAGCAGUAGGGAAUCUUCCGCAAUGGACGAAAGUCUGACGGAGCAACGCCGCGUGAGCGAUGAAGGCCUUCGGGUCGUAAAGCUCUGUUGUUAGGGAAGAACAAGUGCUAGUUGAAUAAGCUGGCACCUUGACGGUACCUAACCAGAAAGCCACGGCUAACUACGUGCCAGCAGCCGCGGUAAUACGUAGGUGGCAAGCGUUAUCCGGAAUUAUUGGGCGUAAAGCGCGCGCAGGUGGUUUCUUAAGUCUGAUGUGAAAGCCCACGGCUCAACCGUGGAGGGUCAUUGGAAACUGGGAGACUUGAGUGCAGAAGAGGAAAGUGGAAUUCCAUGUGUAGCGGUGAAAUGCGUAGAGAUAUGGAGGAACACCAGUGGCGAAGGCGACUUUCUGGUCUGCAACUGACACUGAGGCGCGAAAGCGUGGGGAGCAAACAGGAUUAG